RNAcentral lists this long non-coding RNA (876 nucleotides) under Chrysemys picta bellii (western painted turtle). RNAcentral describes it as "lncRNA (ENSCPBG00000020928.1)". The record is from RNAcentral. Lineage: Eukaryota; Metazoa; Chordata; Testudines; Emydidae.
AGUGGAAUCAGUCACGAAGUGACCCUGGUGGAAUGGAACCAUGCCAGCAAAAGGACUGAGUGGUCUGUUGCUUAUAAAUCAGACAUCACUUUUAUAUCUAAAAUUCAUCACUGAGGUAGGAAGCACAUGAUAAAUUGGUGCCCUGGGACAAUUAGUACGUGUUUCAACAGCUGGGCUACAUCAAAGGCUUCCAUUGCUGACUCUCAAGCUUACACAGUACCGGUCAAAGUACUCAGCAAGUAUAAGAGGAAUGUGCAAAAAGGGCAAUUUAACACCUCUUGGAGUCAGCCACUUGACUUCUGAACAUGAACUCAGCUUUUCAUGUGACUCUUUACUGUGCUUUAUGACUUUAGAAGAGACACACAGUCCUUCCACACAGACAGCUUUAAGUCAUGAUGUCUCCUUUAUUGAUAUCAAAGAUAAAAAGGAGCAAAAUGCAUUCAGAAGAAUCAUACAAAGGUUCUUAUCCAGCAGAGAGACUGAUGGUCUGUCUCUGGUUUCAGGUUGAAACUGAUGCCAGGGAAAGGAAGUCAGUGUAGAAGCAGGCCUGAGUAGGGCUGAGAUGACCUAUAACAACAGUUGCAAAGAAGAGCCCCUACAGCUGCAGAGAAGUCAAAGGUGCUUGCUUUUCAUUUUUUAAAGUUAUUUUAUACUUGUUCACCGCUCCACGAUAAUCAUGCAUUAUUAAAAUGUCAAUGGGAAAUUAGUUAUUAACAUGAAUUCAUUUAAGACGUCGUCAUAAUAUUUUGAAAGACAAUAAUUCAUUCCCAUAUAAUCUCUGCUGCACUUUGUUUGGCACAGAGGUUACCUCUAAAACACUGCUUUACAGUAGAGGCUAGUGCUCUUGGUGUGGCUAAAGUCAGACUCCCCCCCCCC